AAAAAAUGUAGGUUAAUGGCUGUUACAAAGAGAUGAUAGCUGUAUUGGCACAGGAGACAGAAAAGGCUAGAGCAAAAAAAGAGUUUUAUAGAGCGAGACAAGAGUUGUUCCAGCAAUUGCAUCUGUAAAGCCUGGGCACAAUACAAUAAGCAGGGGUUCAGGAUCCAAGAGAAGUUUCUGACCCAAAUGCCUGCCUGCCUGACUGACGUGACCUAGUAUUGGCUAGAAACCCCGAUGUAAUGAUUCGAAUACUACACAGAAAAAUAAUAACUAUCUAUAUCAAUAUGAUAGAGCUGAUAGAAGCUGCAUAUUCACUGUUUUGUGCCUGUUUAAAGAAAGGU
Molecule: long non-coding RNA, 341 nt
Organism: Xenopus tropicalis (tropical clawed frog)
Lineage: Eukaryota; Metazoa; Chordata; Amphibia; Anura; Pipidae
Exons: 3
Source: RefSeq, a predicted model, not a curated record